UGGGGAAUAUUGGACAAUGGGCGCAAGCCUGAUCCAGCCAUGCCGCGUGAGUGAUGAAGGCCCUAGGGUUGUAAAGCUCUUUCACCGGUGAAGAUAAUGACGGUAACCGGAGAAGAAGCCCCGGCUAACUUCGUGCCAGCAGCCGCGGUAAUACGAAGGGGGCUAGCGUUGUUCGGAUUUACUGGGCGUAAAGCGCACGUAGGCGGACUUUUAAGUCAGGGGUGAAAUCCCGGGGCUCAACCCCGGAACUGCCUUUGGUACUGGAAGUCUUGAGUAUGGUAGAGGUGAGUUGAAUUCCGAGUGUAGAGGUGAAAUUCGUAGAUAUUCGGAGGAACACCAGUGGCGAAGGCGGCUCACUGGACCAUUACUGACGCUUAGGUGCGAAAGCGUGGGGAGCAAACAGG
RNAcentral lists this ribosomal RNA (404 nucleotides) under Actinomycetes bacterium. RNAcentral describes it as "Actinobacteria bacterium partial 16S ribosomal RNA". It matches the Rfam family "Bacterial small subunit ribosomal RNA", at positions 355 to 776 of the family's 1533-position model. The record is from RNAcentral. Lineage: Bacteria; Bacillati; Actinomycetota; Actinomycetes.